Long non-coding RNA from Bufo bufo (common toad), 209 nucleotides. RefSeq lists it as uncharacterized. The transcript is spliced from 3 exons. NCBI's taxonomy places the organism in Eukaryota, Metazoa, Chordata, Amphibia, Anura, Bufonidae. The record is from RefSeq and is a predicted model, not a curated record.
GGUGCCAGUGAUGGGUCAGUGGCAGCAAGGCGCGGGCCCUCUGGCCCUGAAGUAGUGGCCGGUAAGAGGGAGGGGGACCCUGAGACCGGGUCUGUGAGGGUGGGACGCCUGCAUGACCCCUCCGUCAGGGGCAGCUAGGUGCGGACCUCCGCAGCUCCCUAGGCAUUCCUCUUGUAGGAACAAGGGUGCCAAUGUCCUGGAGGCCAGGA